This 72-nucleotide transfer RNA is filed under the name Capra hircus (goat). It matches the Rfam family "tRNA". Rfam says of the family: Transfer RNA (tRNA) molecules are approximately 80 nucleotides in length. Their secondary structure includes four short double-helical elements and three loops (D, anti-codon, and T loops). RNAcentral also lists the same sequence under 2 other names. The record is from Rfam by way of RNAcentral. Lineage: Eukaryota; Metazoa; Chordata; Mammalia; Artiodactyla; Bovidae.
UCCCUGGUGGCUGAGAAGAUAAAGGAUCUGCCUGGAAUGCAGGAGACCCAGGUUAGAUCUCUGGGUUGGGAA